Non-coding RNA from Pimephales promelas (fathead minnow), 775 nucleotides. The record is from RefSeq and is a predicted model, not a curated record. NCBI's taxonomy places the organism in Eukaryota, Metazoa, Chordata, Actinopteri, Cypriniformes, Leuciscidae.
UAAUAACUGUGGUGAGUGUAUUUAUUCAGUGUGUGUGUGUGUGUGUAGGUUGUUGUCGUGAACGUGAAGAUGUUGAAUGAGUCUCCAGAUCCAGUGUCUCCACAAAAAGAAUGGGAAAGUCUAGCAUGAACGGUUGUGGAGAAACGUCUUCUUAAAACACUUCUUCAAACUAUCAGUCCAACAUUUUUUAAUCAGUUUGAUGUAGUGAUAACCAAAGAAAGUCUAAAUUGAUCCCCAGUAUUAUUUAAGUGUUGUAGUGCAAUAUUGUCCCUCUGCUCGUUCUGUUCCCUGUAACGUGUUUCUUAGAUUUUGUAUCAUCAAUGUUAAAGUCCCACUGAAGUGUCUUGGUAAGCGCAGCUGUGAUGCGUUGAUGUAAUUUCCACUGAACAGCCAAUAGCGUUUAGUUUAACUCUCACACUGAGACUCUCAUACUUGACCAUAGAAGCGAAUCCGAGAGCUGACGAUACGCUGGACUCAACUGUAAAAAGGUUGCUGUAAAGUUACUGUAAAAAUGUUUACAGUAUCACUACUGUAAUUUCAUUUACAAUAAUACAAUUGUAUUCUGUAUUAAUAUUUACAGUAUGAGUAGAAAUAAGUACCAUAUUUUAAUUUACAGGAAUAAUACUGUUGUAUUCAUGCGUGAACUACUGUAUUUUUAUUUACAAUUUUAGAAUUGAUUUCCUACAUAAUUUGAUUUUUUUACGAUUUACAUUAGAAAAUAAUUACCGUAGGACACAUAUUUUCCCAUAAUCCUUGGCUAUAAACAGUAUUUUAC